UACGUAGGGGGCUAGCGUUGUCCGGAAUCAUUGGGCGUAAAGAGCGUGUAGGCGGCCCGGUAAGUCCGCUGUGAAAGUCGGGGGCUCAACCCUCGAAUGCCGGUGGAUACUGUCGGGCUAGAGUGCGGAAGAGGCGAGUGGAAUUCCUGGCGUAGCGGUGAAAUGCGCAGAUAUCAGGAGGAACACCAAUUGCGAAGGCAGCUCGCUGGGACGUAACUGACGCUGAGACGCGAAAGCGUGGGGAGCAAACAGG
RNAcentral lists this ribosomal RNA (253 nucleotides) under uncultured bacterium. RNAcentral's name for it is "partial 16S ribosomal RNA". It matches the Rfam family "Bacterial small subunit ribosomal RNA", at positions 524 to 776 of the family's 1533-position model. The record is from RNAcentral.